RNAcentral lists this ribosomal RNA (497 nucleotides) under uncultured bacterium. RNAcentral describes it as "partial 16S ribosomal RNA". It matches the Rfam family "Bacterial small subunit ribosomal RNA", at positions 28 to 507 of the family's 1533-position model. The record is from RNAcentral.
GAUGAACGCUGGCGGCGUGCCUAAUACAUGCAAGUCGAGCGAACGGACGAGAAGCUGGCUUCUCUGAUGUUAGCGGCGGACGGGUGAGUAACACGUGGAUAACCUACCUAUAAGACUGGGAUAACUUCGGGAAACCGGAGCUAAUACCGGCUGAUAUUUUGAACCGCAUGGUUCAAAAGUGAAAGACGGUCUUGCUGUCACUUAUAGAUGGAUCCGCGCUGCAUUAGCUACUUGGUAGGGUAACGGCUUACCAAGGCAACGAUGCGUAGCCGAUCUGAGAGGAGGAUCGGCCACACUGGAACUGAGACACGGUCCAGACUCCUACGGGAGGCAGCAGUAGGGAAUCUUCGGCAAUGGGCGCAAGCCUGACGGAGCCACGCCGCGUGAGUGAAGAAGGUCUUCGGAUCGUAAAACUCUGUUAUUGGGGAAGAACAGAUGUGUAAGUAACUGUGGACAUCUUGACGGUACCUAAUCAGAAAGCCACGGCUAACUUCGUG